GCAGGCUAAUGGCCUUGUGCAAAGAGGGUGUUUUUAAACACCUGGGAUUUCCAAUACCUGAUCACUGAAGGACAUCCACCUGAAAGGGAAGGUCACCUAUGAGAAGACCCAGAAGGUUUCUCCAGCCUUUGAUUUCUAUCAUGCUGCCUGACAGUCCACCAGUAGAUGAACCUGCAAAGUCCCAGACCUUCUCCCCACUUCUGUAUAAAAUCUCCAUUUCAGGAUGGCAUCUCUGAGGGUCACUUGCCUACAGAAUGGAGCUGUCAACACCUGCCCUGCCCUCCUUAAAUAGUUGGAAGGAAGACCUAAUGAGACACAUAGACUGUUAAGGAUUGUACACAUCUAAGGAAUUAUUCUCUUUUAGUUCUCAGAAGCUUCAGGAAGGGAGAGACUGUUUUAUCAAUGAUGGUCUAUAAAGCAACCAUCUCUUGAGGAUAACAAUAUUAACUUUUCUAGGCAUCAAGGGGAUCUACAUAGGCUGAAACCACCCCUGGUUUAGCUUUAGUCCCCAUGGCUGGCCCAUGACUCCUGGGCUAUCUUGUGCCCUCUAUUCUGGGCUAUCUCAGGGCACAAGAGGAUGAUUCAGAGGUACCAGACUCUGUAUCCUUCUUGGUCUGGACCCCUGAUACAGUUGUGUCCAAAAGAAGGUGGAGGCAUUUCUGUCUGUAUCCCUUUGUGUGAGGCACAGCUAUGUCACUUAGAAGCAGUUAGGUAACUCUCCACACCCUAGCCCCACCCCACUUCACAUUCCAGCUUCAGUUUACACAAAGCCUGGGCUACACCCCUCUCAUCAGGCUGGCAGCAUGCACAGAUUGGGUUUCUCCACUGCCCUAUCAUUAGAUCCUAAUCCUGCCUGUUUCUCACCAGUCUCCUUUCUCACCUUAAUCCCUCUAAUGUGAAGCAUCCCAGUUGCUUCUGGGGGCAUCAGAGGUUUGGCUGCAGGGAAGUAAGGAAGGGUUGCUGAUCCUCCCAGAAGCUGUGGACCUUCAGAG
Molecule: long non-coding RNA, 992 nt
Filed under: Marmota monax (woodchuck)
Lineage: Eukaryota; Metazoa; Chordata; Mammalia; Rodentia; Sciuridae
Source: RNAcentral